CGGGGAGUGGCGCAGCCUGGUAGCGCACUUGCAUGGGGUGCAAGGGGUCGCAGGUUCAAAUCCUGUCUCCCCGA
RNAcentral lists this transfer RNA (74 nucleotides) under Chloroflexi bacterium RBG_13_52_14. Its description in RNAcentral is "tRNA-Pro". It matches the Rfam family "tRNA". Rfam says of the family: Transfer RNA (tRNA) molecules are approximately 80 nucleotides in length. The record is from RNAcentral. Lineage: Bacteria; Bacillati; Chloroflexota. RNAcentral also lists the same sequence under 4 other names.